AGAUUAAGUUAUUAAGGGCGCACGGUGGAUGCCUUGGCACUAGAAGCCGAUGAAGGACGUUACUAACGACGAUAUGCUUUGGGUAGCUGUAAGUAAGCGUUGAUCCAGAGAUUUCCGAAUGGGGGAACCCAGCAUGAGUUAUGUCAUGUUAUCGACAUGUGAAUUCAUAGCAUGUCAGAAGGCAGACCCGGAGAACUGAAACAUCUUAGUACCCGGAGGAAGAGAAAGAAAAAUCGAUUCCCUGAGUAGCGGCGAGCGAAACGGGAAGAGCCCAAACCAACAAGCUUGCUUGUUGGGGUUGUAGGACACUCUAUACGGAGUUACAAAAGAACAUGUUAGACGAAUCAUCUGGAAAGAUGAAUCAAAGAAGGUAAUAAUCCUGUAGUCGAAAACAUAUUCUCUCUUGAGUGGAUCCUGAGUACGACGGAGCACGUGAAAUUCCGUCGGAAUCUGGGAGGACCAUCUCCUAAGGCUAAAUACUCUCUAGUGACCGAUAGUGAACCAGUACCGUGAGGGAAAGGUGAAAAGUACCCCGGAAGGGGAGUGAAAGAGAACUUGAAACCGUGUGCUUACAAGUAGUCAGAGCCCGUUAAUGGGUGAUGGCGUGCCUUUUGUAGAAUGAACCGGCGAGUUACGAUCUGAUGCAAGGUUAAGCAGCAAAUGUGGAGCCGCAGCGAAAGCGAGUCUGAAUAGGGCGUUGAGUAUUUGGUCGUAGACCCGAAACCAGGUGAUCUACCCUUGGUCAGGUUGAAGUUCAGGUAACACUGAAUGGAGGACCGAACCGACUUACGUUGAAAAGUGAGCGGAUGAACUGAGGGUAGCGGAGAAAUUCCAAUCGAACUUGGAGAUAGCUGGUUCUCUCCGAAAUAGCUUUAGGGCUAGCCUCAAGUGAUGAUUAUUGGAGGUAGAGCACUGUUUGGACGAGGGGCCCCUCUCGGGUUACCGAAUUCAGACAAACUCCGAAUGCCAAUUAAUUUAACUUGGGAGUCAGAACAUGGGUGAUAAGGUCCGUGUUCGAAAGGGAAACAGCCCAGACCACCAGCUAAGGUCCCAAAAUAUAUGUUAAG
This 1067-nucleotide ribosomal RNA is filed under the name Staphylococcus epidermidis. RNAcentral describes it as "bacterial LSU rRNA". It matches the Rfam family "Bacterial large subunit ribosomal RNA", at positions 1 to 1063 of the family's 2925-position model. The record is from RNAcentral. Lineage: Bacteria; Bacillati; Bacillota; Bacilli; Caryophanales; Staphylococcaceae.